This 438-nucleotide ribosomal RNA is filed under the name uncultured bacterium. RNAcentral describes it as "partial 16S ribosomal RNA". It matches the Rfam family "Bacterial small subunit ribosomal RNA", at positions 339 to 795 of the family's 1533-position model. The record is from RNAcentral.
CUACGGGUGGCAGCAGUGAGGAAUAUUGCACAAUGGGGGGAACCCUGAUGCAGCAACGCCGCGUGGAGGAUGACGCAUUUCGGUGUGUAAACUCCUUUUAUAUGUCAAGAAAAUGACGGUAGCAUAUGAAUAAGCACCGGCUAACUCCGUGCCAGCAGCCGCGGUAAUACGGGGGUGCAAGCGUUACUCGGAAUCGCUGGGCGUAAAGGACGCGUAGGCGGGUUGGAAAGUCAGGUGUGAAAUCCUACAGCUUAACUGUAGAACUGCACUUGAAACUUCUAAUCUAGAGUAUGGGAGGGGGAGAUGGAAUUAGUGGUGUAGGGGUAAAAUCCGUAGAUAUCACUAGGAAUACCUAAAGCGAAGGCGAUCUCCUGGAACAUUACUGACGCUAAGGCGUGAAAGCGUGGGGAGCAAACAGGAUUAGAUACCCUGGUAGUC